UACGUAGGGGGCAAGCGUUGUCCGGAUUUAUUGGGCGUAAAGAGCGUGUAGGCGGCCUGAUAGGUCAGCUGUGAAAACUCGAGGCUCAACCUCGAGACGUCGGUUGAAACCAUCUGGCUAGAGUCCGGAAGAGGAGAGUGGAAUUCCCGGUGUAGCGGUGAAAUGCGCAGAUAUCGGGAAGAACACCCGUGGCGAAGGCGGCUCUCUGGGACGGUACUGACGCUGAGGAGCGAAAGCGUGGGGAGCGAACAGG
RNAcentral lists this ribosomal RNA (253 nucleotides) under uncultured bacterium. RNAcentral describes it as "partial 16S ribosomal RNA". It matches the Rfam family "Bacterial small subunit ribosomal RNA", at positions 524 to 776 of the family's 1533-position model. The record is from RNAcentral.